This 253-nucleotide ribosomal RNA is filed under the name uncultured bacterium. RNAcentral's name for it is "partial 16S ribosomal RNA". It matches the Rfam family "Bacterial small subunit ribosomal RNA", at positions 524 to 776 of the family's 1533-position model. The record is from RNAcentral.
UACGGGGGGAGCAAGCGUUGUUCGGAUUUACUGGGCGUAAAGGGCGCGUAGGCGGCCUGGCAAGUGGAAGGUGAAAUCCCUCGGCUUAACCGAGGAACUGCCCUCCAAACUGCUUGGCUUGAGUCCGGGAGAGGUGAGUGGAAUUCCCAGUGUAGCGGUGAAAUGCGUAGAUAUUGGGAGGAACACCAGUGGCGAAGGCGGCUCACUGGACCGGAACUGACGCUGAGGCGCGAAAGCGUGGGGAGCAAACGGG